GAAUAAUACUCUAAAGAGGAAAAGCAUGUCCUAAGAAGAAGGAAUUGUAUAUGCAAAAGCUCAGAGGUCAAGAAACCAAGGCCCAUGCUGUGUACACAGGUCUCUAAGACCAAAGAGUAGGUGUGAGGAAUGAGGUGGAGAAGCUGGAAAGGUUAAGAGUGAGCAUUUUCUAAUCCAGUAUUGCUCUGCCAGAGCCACUUUAAUCAAAUGCAAAUUACAUGCAUUGUAUCACCUAAUUCUCACAAGAGCUCCAUGAGGCGGGCAUUGUUACCCUGAUUUUCCGCCUGAUUUUCCAGACGGGGGAAAAAGAACUGCAUAGAGUUUGAGGAAAAUCAAAAGGCACAGAGUCAGUAGGAAGGAGAGCUGGAGUUUGAACAUGUCUGUCUGACACCAAAGUUCUCACUCUUUCUUCUUUGUCAUCACUUACCCCAGUUCUUUUGACUUCUGGUAUAUUUCAUAGCUUUGUCUUUUUGUUUUUCAUUUUUGAAAGUUUUAUUGAAGUAUAGUUGAUUUAUAACAUUGGGAUCAUUUCUGCUAGACAACAAAGCGAUUCAGUUAUACAUGUACACACAUCUGUUCUCUUUCAGAUUCUCUUCCCACGUAGAUGAUCACAGCGUAUUGGGUAGAGUUCCCUAUGCUAUACAGCAGGUCCCUAUUGACCAAUCAUUCCAUAUCCCUCAGUGUGCACAUGCCAAUCCAAAACCCCCAGUCCAUCUCUCCCCUGCCCCCAACCUGUCCCUGUUGGUAACCAUAAGUUUGUCUUUCAAUGGAAUAAACACAGCUUCUGAAUAUCAGGGGUUGGGGCUGGAGAGAUGCUUACCAAUCAAGUCAAGGUACUUUGCCAUUAAAAUCAAUACAUUUGCAUUUUCUUCAUUUGGUCCACAAAUACCUCUGAGUAUCACCUUUGUGUUAGGUACUGAGACAGGUGAUGGUGCUAUAAGAGGUCAAUAAGGCCAGCCACAGUCCUUGCCUUCAGGGUGCUAAGACUAAUCUAUUCCUUAAACCUUCUUGAGGAGGCUUCCUGGCUUCAGGUGAGCAUGAAUGCUGCUGUGCUUUCAUACACACCCAAGGAACUCCAUCACUGCUGCUGCUAAGGAAGUAGCACCUGCAUUAUUUUCAAACAAUGUCCAUGAAUUAUAUCAGAGAUUAAUUGAUCAGCUAAAUGGGAUAAAGUGGACAGUAGACUGGGAAUAAAUCAAUGAAGAGAACAGUGAGCUGUGGGAUACAGCUGGGAUCAAUUGUGUUACAGCUCACUCUGCCAGGCUCCAGAUUGUAAAGCAGCCUGCUUGGAAGGGGUCAUGAACAGGGCAAAUCACUGACUGAACGACCUACAAAAUUUUCAUAGCCUUAUUUAUACCCUAUAUCUCACUAAAGUGAGCCACAUUUCUAAAAGGUAUCAAUUCUGCAGGAUCACAAACUAGGAAUGCUUUCUUCUAAUUAGGACAAAGCUGAUUAUCACUCAACAGACUCUUUGAAGAUAUAUAUGAAAUAUAUGGAAAUAUGGAAGAACUUAGGAAAAAAAGAAUACACAUUACAAAUGGGGCUCUAAGAAUCCAAUGGAAAUAAAAGAGUUUGGCUUCAAGUUCAAAUCUUUAAAGGUACUAUUAGAAAAUCUAAUCACUAUUUUAUAAAACUUGUUAAAAAAUUAACGGAGUUAUGAUAAAAAAUUUACAAUAAAAAAUAAGAAAGGGUUGUUGGGAAAUGAAAAAUUUAAUUUCUUCUAAUUGGGAAAUUUUCAAUGUCAAAACAGCAAUUUUGGGGGGUUCCUGUUGAGGCUCAGUGGGUUAAGAAUCCAACUAGUAUCCGCAAGGAUACAGGUUCAUUCCUUGGCAUAAUACAGUGGGUUAAGGAUCCAGCGUUGCCAUGAGCUGUGGUGUAGGUUGCAGAUGUGGGUUGGAUCUGGUGUUGCUUUGGCUGUGGUCUAGGCCAGCAGCUACAGCUCCAGUUUGAACCAUAGCCUGAGAACUUCCAGAUGCUAGAGGUGCAGCCCUGAAAAGAAAAAUAAAAUAAAAUAAAAUAAAAAAGCAUCUUUUGUGAAUAUAAAAAUAUAUCAGUCCCUUUUUUCCCCAACAAGAGCUAAAUGGGCUCUGAGAGAUUAAAGGCUGGCCAUUAGCCCGGUUAGCCUGAGUGAGGAAGGAAACUGAGCAGCCUGUCCCAUAACUGGAGGGUGAAUGAUGCUUGUUGUCCCCUCAGGGUUUGCAGAGGCAAGUGGUAGCCAGGGAAGCCCCCUUGGGAAGGUGAACACCCACCACACUUCAGAAGCUACUCGUGGGAAGGGGCUUCUUCUGCCCUGAAAAUGACUUGCUAGGCAGGAGCAGGAAAAAGCCAUUAUUCCACCAUGGAAAAAGAUAAUUUUUCCCCUAACUUCAGAGAUCAUCAAAAAUCACUUCAUUUUUCUUGCAUUUAUACCCUGGGCUUGUAAAACAGUUACAGGAUCUCAAAAAGACUGUAUUAUAGAUGGAAGUUGCAACCAGCCAGCCAGAAGUGAGGAUGAUUUAAAAAUAUUUUUUUUUUAAAUGUUUUGUUUAGUCUUUUUAGGGCAACACCCAUGGUGUAUGGAAGAUCCCAGGCUAGGGGUCGAAUCAGCCAUAGCCACCAGCCUAUACCACAGCCACAGCAAUGCCAGAUCUGAACUGCAUCUGUGACCUACACCACAGCUUGUGGCAAUGCUGGAUCCUUAACCCACUGAGGGAAGUCAGGGAUUGAACCCACAUCCUUCUGGACACAAGUUGAGUUCUUAACCCUCUGAGCCACAAUGGGAACUCCAAAGAUUUAAAUUUUAAAAGGCUCCUGAAUUCAAAACUUAAGAAAAUAUGAAAUGUUUCCAAGAGAUCUUUUGUGUUUUGUGUUAGUCAUGUAUAUUCGGUGAGUCACAUUUUAAAUACAGCAUGCCAAUUACUGAAAUAUUCUUAAUUCUUUUAAAUUUGCAUGAAAUUUCCUCUUAUCAACGCAUACCAAAAGAAAAAAAUACAAACAGGUGUAACUGGUAAAAGACAACCUUGAACAGCUAGGCCAGGUUAAUCCUUUGGCAUGGAUUAAAUUAUAAAAAGUUUAAAUGACAACUAAUCUCAGAGCCUUACAUAUACAUUAGGGAUUUUAUUUGACUAAGCUUAAUGAUUACUUGAGUGUUAACCAGGAUAAUUUAAGAGGCAAAUAAACCCAUGCCAAAUCCCAUUAAAGCACGUGGAAACUACAGAAGACUAACCUGAAAUGGAGAAUUAGCUAAAAAAUGAAAACAACAACAAAAACACCCUAUGAAAUACACUCAUUACAAAUUUACAAACAUGAGAUGGUUCAGGACAGAUUAAAAAAAAAAAAUCUAGGGGAGUUCCUGUUGUGGCUCAGUGGGUUAAGAACCUGACAUAGUCUUAGUGAGGACGCAGGUUUGAUUCCUGCCCUUGCUCUGUGGGUUAAGGAUCCAGCAUUGCCGCAAGCUGUGGUGUAGGUCGCAGAUGAGGCUGAGAUAUGGUGUUGCUGUGACAUGUCUGUGGCCAGCAGCUGCAGCUCCAAUUGAGCCCCUGGCCAGGAAACUUUCAAAUGCCAUGGGUGUGGCCAUAAAAAGGAAAAAAUAUCUAUGGGGGAAAAUGGAGAUUUAAUACACAGAAAGUAGGAGUAAAAUAGUUUCUUGAGAACCAGAACAGUAUGGUUUGCAUCUCAUAUUCCAGUAAGUACUGGCUGUGUCUUAGGCACAGCAGCUGUUUGCUACUUUUGGGUGGUAGUUAAUCCUAGUCUAAAGGUCUUGUUGGAGUUGAUAAAAUGACUUUGCUGAUACUUACCCAGCCAGUAUGCAAUUGAGAUUUUCCUGACUACUAGGUGUUUUGCUCUUUUCAUGAGAUAAGUCUUAUGCCUUAAACAGAGACCUGGUUUUUAUUACUAAGAAGUAAGGCACCGGGUUCUACCAAGACAAGUUCAUCUAUGAUAUUCCCUUUGCUCCUUCUCAUGGAGAAAAGACAAAGAGGCAAAGACCCUCAUGGUGAUUUAUAACUGUUUUCCAGUUUCACAAGUAUGUAAUAUAUUUGUCUCUUCAAGCAGAAUUUCUUACCCUUCCCUUAUUCUUCAUAUGCCCUCUGGAGUUCUUUGUGAUUUUUAAACACAGUGGGAAGCAACAUGAGGUACUGGUUAAGAGGUUAAGACUGCCUGGAGACCAAUUUCAGUUUCAUUAUCUAUUAACCAACUGACCUUAAGCAAGUUCCUUAACCUUUCUGUGACUCAGUAUCUUUCUUUGUCUCUGGUUGAAACAGCACUAUCUCCAGAUUAUCUGGUGAAUUAUUCACAAACCUCUUAGGACAAUGCCUGGCACAUGGUAAGCAUUGUAUAUGUGUUAAGCUAAAAUGCUUGUGGAAUGACAAAAUUUUUUUUUUUGCACUUACACUAAUUAAUAUUAUUCAGAAACUGAUGAGGUUUCCCUAACCAAGACAUUGUCUGGGAAAUUGCUAAACUUUGAACAACUCCAUCUCUUAUUAUUUGAGAAAAGCCAAUAGAAAAUAGCCAUGACACAUACACUUACAUUGUAAGGGGCUCCGUAAUUAUUUAUUACUUGCUGAAAAAUUCUGGUUGGUGAAGAGAGGAACAAAACAGUCAUGUUAACAUCUAAACCUCAUUAAAGUUUCAUCUUCUUUUAAAGUCCAGGAAGACAAAUGAGUUACCAAAGGAAUUUCCUAUAAGGCUUAUCCCAAUGUUUGAACAUAACUGCUACAAUAAAUUAAAUAGGAUUUCCUAAAUGGCCAAAAGCUCAGUGGUUGGGGGGUCAGGGGAGCAGACAGAGCCAAGUUAUGAGGGUUGGGUGUGAAUUUCAAUGUCUAAGGUGAAGUUGAUAUACUCUAGCAAUUAAACUCUUAUCUGACAGUAUCUUACAAUGUUUUUGAAGUCAACAUUGAAAAAUAAAAUGAUUAGUAAUUUAUUAAAGAGAUUAGUGAGCAAAUGAUAAAUGAGCUUGG
RNAcentral lists this long non-coding RNA (4937 nucleotides) under Sus scrofa (pig). RNAcentral's name for it is "lncRNA (ENSSSCG00015046867.1)". Lineage: Eukaryota; Metazoa; Chordata; Mammalia; Artiodactyla; Suidae. The record is from RNAcentral.